RNAcentral lists this transfer RNA (61 nucleotides) under Ictidomys tridecemlineatus (thirteen-lined ground squirrel). RNAcentral describes it as "Spermophilus tridecemlineatus (thirteen-lined ground squirrel) tRNA". It matches the Rfam family "tRNA", at positions 6 to 65 of the family's 71-position model. Rfam says of the family: Transfer RNA (tRNA) molecules are approximately 80 nucleotides in length. Their secondary structure includes four short double-helical elements and three loops (D, anti-codon, and T loops). Lineage: Eukaryota; Metazoa; Chordata; Mammalia; Rodentia; Sciuridae. The record is from Rfam by way of RNAcentral.
UGUGACUCAGUGGUAGAGUGCUUGCCUGGCAUGUGUGAGGCCCUGAGUUCAAUCCUCAGCA